Molecule: ribosomal RNA, 654 nt
Filed under: uncultured Glomus
Lineage: Eukaryota; Fungi; Glomeromycota; Glomeromycetes; Glomerales; Glomeraceae
Description: SSU rRNA
Rfam family: Eukaryotic small subunit ribosomal RNA
Source: RNAcentral
GGGUAACGGGGUGUUAGGGCACGACACCGGAGAGGGAGCCUGAGAAACGGCUACCACAUCCAAGGAAGGCAGCAGGCGCGCAAAUUACCCAAUCCCGACAUGGGGAGGUAGUGACAAUAAAUAACAAUACAGGGUUCUUUUGGAUCUUGUAAUUGGAAUGAGUACAAUUUAAAUCUCUUAACGAGGAACAAUUGGAGGGCAAGUCUGGUGCCAGCAGCCGCGGUAAUUCCAGCUCCAAUAGCGUAUAUUAAAGUUGUUGCAGUUAAAAAGCUCGUAGUUGAAUUUCGGGAUCAAGGGAUCGGUCAUGCCUUGGUAUGUACUGGUCUUAUUGGUUCUCACCUUCUAAGGAACCAUGAUGUCAUUCAUUUGAUGUUAUGGGGAAUUAGGACUGUUACCUUGAAAAAAUUAGAGUGUUUAAAGCAAGCUUACGCUUGAAUGCAUUAGCAUGGAAUAAUGAAAUAGGACAUCAGAUUCUAUUUUGUUGGUUUCUAGGAUCGAUGUAAUGAUUAAUAGGGAUAGUUGGGGGCAUUAGUAUUCAAUUGUCAGAGGUGAAAUUCUUGGAUUUAUUGAAGACUAACUACUGCGAAAGCAUUUGCCAAGGAUGUUUUCAUUAAUCAAGAACGAAAGUUAGGGGAUCGAAGACGAUCAGAUACC